CCUGUGUCUUGUGGCUGUGUGCUCCCUAAUCAUUAAUAUCUCGUUGACGUUUCAGGAAAUGUCCAGAAGGCCCUUGUCACCCCGCCUGGUUGCACGGGAGUUGUCCCAUGCCUCAGUGUCAGGUUCUACCGCUCUCAGAAGAAAGGAACUAGCCUGUCUGCAACCAUCUGGCGCCGGAGCCUUCUCUCCCUCUGAACUGCCACACCCCUCCCACCCCGCUCAGCCGCCCUCCUUUCUCCCCGAGUAUUUCUAUGUAUAAUUCUUGUCUAUCUGAUGGGACAUGGACCAUAUGUUACAGUUCUUUUUAUGAUUCUGUGUCGAAUAAAUAAACUGAUUGAAGCCUGA
Molecule: long non-coding RNA, 345 nt
Organism: Suricata suricatta (meerkat)
Lineage: Eukaryota; Metazoa; Chordata; Mammalia; Carnivora; Herpestidae
Exons: 2
Source: RefSeq, a predicted model, not a curated record